Long non-coding RNA from Coccinella septempunctata (seven-spotted ladybird), 262 nucleotides. RefSeq lists it as uncharacterized. NCBI's taxonomy places the organism in Eukaryota, Metazoa, Arthropoda, Insecta, Coleoptera, Coccinellidae. The transcript is spliced from 2 exons. The record is from RefSeq and is a predicted model, not a curated record.
CAAAGAUUAUAGAGAACUCUAUAAUCUUUGAAAUAGGUUAUCUUUAACCGACCCAACUCUGCCAAAAUGAUGCAAAUCUCCAUGACAACGGCUAGACUUGUUUACAUCUGCCAGGCCGACAUCUUGGUAGGUAAUUUCAGACCACAGAGUGUUUUGUUGCCGGUUUUAGUUCAUCAGUUUCACCCCCCUGGUUGAAAUCAUCAAAUUCCUGAUUGACAUAUCGUAAUAAUUCCAUAUGAUGGUACAUGAAGUCCCCCUGAAA